RNAcentral lists this ribosomal RNA (855 nucleotides) under uncultured bacterium. Its description in RNAcentral is "bacterial SSU rRNA". It matches the Rfam family "Bacterial small subunit ribosomal RNA", at positions 14 to 916 of the family's 1533-position model. The record is from RNAcentral.
UGAUUAUGGCUCAGAGCGAACGCUGGCGGCAGGCCUAACACAUGCAAGUCGAACGGAUCCUUCGGGAUUAGUGGCGGACGGGUGAGUAACACGUGGGAACGUGCCUUUUGGUUCGGAACAACUCAGGGAAACUUGAGCUAAUACCGAAUGUGCCCUUCGGGGGAAAGAUUUAUCGCCAUUAGAGCGGCCCGCGUCUGAUUAGCUAGUUGGUGAGGUAAAGGCUCACCAAGGCUACGAUCAGUAGCUGGUCUGAGAGGAUGAUCAGCCACAUUGGGACUGAGACACGGCCCAAACUCCUACGGGAGGCAGCAGUGGGGAAUCUUGCGCAAUGGGCGAAAGCCUGACGCAGCCAUGCCGCGUGAAUGAUGAAGGUCUUAGGAUUGUAAAAUUCUUUCACCGGGGACGAUAAUGACGGUACCCGGAGAAGAAGCCCCGGCUAACUUCGUGCCAGCAGCCGCGGUAAUACGAAGGGGGCUAGCGUUGCUCGGAAUUACUGGGCGUAAAGGGAGCGUAGGCGGAUAGUUUAGUCAGAGGUGAAAGCCCAGGGCUCAACCUUGGAAUUGCCUUUGAUACUGGCUAUCUUGAGUAUGGGAGAGGUUAGCGGAACUCCGAGUGUAGAGGUGAAAUUCGUAGAUAUUCGGAAGAACACCAGUGGCGAAGGCGGCUAACUGGCCCAUUACUGACGCUGAGGCUCGAAAGCGUGGGGAGCAAACAGGAUUAGAUACCCUGGUAGUCCACGCCGUAAACGAUGAGUGCUAGUUGUCGGCAUGCAUGCAUGUCGGUGACGCAGCUAACGCAUUAAGCACUCCGCCUGGGGGAGUACGGUCGCAAGAUUAAAACUCAAUGAAUUGACGG